GCGGAUUUACUCAGGGGAGAGCCCAGAUAAAUGGAGUCUGUGCGUCCACAGAAUUCGCACCA
This 62-nucleotide transfer RNA is filed under the name synthetic construct. The record is from RNAcentral.